RNAcentral lists this ribosomal RNA (437 nucleotides) under uncultured Clostridium sp. Its description in RNAcentral is "partial 16S ribosomal RNA". It matches the Rfam family "Bacterial small subunit ribosomal RNA", at positions 341 to 792 of the family's 1533-position model. RNAcentral also lists the same sequence under 1 other name. Lineage: Bacteria; Bacillati; Bacillota; Clostridia; Eubacteriales; Clostridiaceae. The record is from RNAcentral.
ACGGGAGGCAGCAGUGGGGGAUAUUGCACAAUGGAGGAAACUCUGAUGCAGCAACGCCGCGUGAGGGAAGAAGGUCUUCGGAUUGUAAACCUUUGUCUUUGGUGACGAAGAAAGUGACGGUAGCCAAGGAGGAAGCUCCGGCUAACUACGUGCCAGCAGCCGCGGUAAUACGUAGGGAGCGAGCGUUAUCCGGAUUUACUGGGUGUAAAGGGUGCGCAGGCGGGAACGCAAGUUGGAUGUGAAAACUAUGGGCUUAACCCAUAAACUGCAUCCAAAACUGCGAUUCUUGAGUGAAGUAGAGGUAGGCGGAAUUCCUAGUGUAGCGGUGAAAUGCGUAGAUAUUAGGAGGAACACCAGUGGCGAAGGCGGCCUACUGGGCUUUAACUGACGCUGAGGCACGAAAGCAUGGGUAGCAAACAGGAUUAGAUACCCUGGUA